AGGGGCAGCAUAAUUAUUCGCAAGAAUAAUGGUGGCGACCGGCGCACGGGUGCGAACGCGUAUGCAACCUACCUUUUACGUGGGGUAUAGCCCGGAGAAAUCCGGAUUAACUCCCCCAUAGUACUGACAAUUCGCAUGAUGAGCAGUUAAAGUUUCGGGACGGUAAAAGAGUGGGCAUGCCGUCCUAUUAGCUAGAUGGUAAGGUAACGGCUUACCAUGGCUACGAUAGGUAGGGGGCCCUGAGAGGGUGGUCCCCCACACUGGUACUGAGACACGGACAGACUCC
Molecule: ribosomal RNA, 286 nt
Filed under: uncultured bacterium
Lineage: Bacteria
Description: partial 16S ribosomal RNA
Rfam family: Bacterial small subunit ribosomal RNA
Source: RNAcentral